AACGAACGCUGGCGGCAUGCCUAACACAUGCAAGUCGAACGAGACCUUCGGGUCUAGUGGCGCACGGGUGCGUAACGCGUGGGAACUUGCCCUUAGGUUCGGAAUAACUCCCCGAAAGGGGUGCUAAUAACGGAUAAUGUCUUCGGACCAAAGAUCUAGCGCUUUUGGAUGGGCCCGCGUUGGAUUAGCUGGUUGGUGGGGUACAAGCCUACCAAGGCGACGAUGGGUAGCUGGUCUGAGAGGAUGAACGGCCACGCUGGGAGUGAGAUACGGCACAGAGUAGUAGGGGAGGGAGAAGUGGGGAAGGUUGCAAAGUGGGGGGAAGCAGGAUGCAGAAACGCGGCGUGCGGGAUGAAGGACUAAGGGUGGUAAACAGCUUUCGCCUGUGACGAAGCGUGAGUGACGGUAAUGGGUAAAGAAGGAACGGCUAAAUACGUG
Molecule: ribosomal RNA, 438 nt
Filed under: uncultured bacterium
Lineage: Bacteria
Description: partial 16S ribosomal RNA
Rfam family: Bacterial small subunit ribosomal RNA
Source: RNAcentral